This is a long non-coding RNA of Numida meleagris (helmeted guineafowl), 7032 nucleotides long. RefSeq lists it as uncharacterized. The transcript is spliced from 5 exons. The record is from RefSeq and is a predicted model, not a curated record. Lineage: Eukaryota; Metazoa; Chordata; Aves; Galliformes; Numididae.
AAAUAAUUUUGUAUCCUGUCCUCUGUGGUUAUGUAUGACCUGUUUUGAGAAAGGAGUUUAAAGCAUAGGAACCUAAAAAGUGAAUCUGUCUGUAAGGCUACUAACUGAACUUAAGAAAAAGAAUUACUUCUUUUCAUAUGUUUCCUUUCUUUCUCCAGUCAAAGGUUAUGGUGUCAAACUGUGAUGAAAGCAUGUAUAAAAGAAAGGGCUAAAGAAAUGGAAUUUGAUGCUGCAUGAUAUCCCAGAGAGAUCUAGGCUGACAGAGCAACCUAUUCCAUCUGUGAAUGAAGAUACAGAAAUACGUGAUUUUUCCAAACUAAAGUAUAUAGAAACAUGGUUCAAGCUGAAUUUUCAGAGCAUAUCUUUUGUCUUUACUCAAAGCUCACAAAAUGCAGAUGGAAUUACCACUUUCUUUUGACAAUGUCUCUACUGAUUUAAUUCCCUUUUCAGCUUGUGUGUUCCUAUCAUGUUUCCCAUGGCAGUGUUUGAACCAUUAAGAAAUGGCCUUUUUCAGGUAUAACCACAUUGCACUCCUUCUAUGGAAUUGCAUAUUCAGCACUGUUAUGCAAAGAGGAUGACAGAAUUUGUUGGACAAUAAGAAUAUGGAAGAACAAAUAUGACUUUGAAAGACAGGAAAGUUCUGUGGGAUGAGGUGUUCUGGCUUCCCUCCUCUGCUCGCAUGAUUCCUGGAUUUUAUCCAAAGAGUAGGUAACAGAAAAUGUGGCUUCAGAAUUGAGAUGGAGUGGGACAACAGGACCUAUCUGAGGUGCAGACCUAUGCUAGUGAAAUUUCAAAUAAACUUGUUGCUUUUUUUUUCUGGAACAUACUGAAGUACACUAUACUGUGCUGCAUAUCUCACUGGAUAUUGACCAUGAGACCCUAUAGCUAGAUCUUCUCUGAGGCAAUUAUUUCCUCUUUUAUAUUGUGUAGAAAAUAAUGGAUGUCUAACAAAAGCUGAAUUGUGCAGAAGGGUCUAAAAGUUAGACACAGUCACUAUAUAUUUUAUCUACAUUGACUAAUAAAUGAGAUAAAAGGAAACACAUGCCAAAAGUUCACCAUGUGGUUGCCAGAGUAGUUUGUGGCAUUUGUUUGACUUGAACCAGCUAUCACUUUCUCAAAUGAUUCCUCGGUGUGAUUCAGGUGUUAAUGUGGGCCAUGCACUACUCUCAGUAUGGAACUUGCAGUCAACUGUCUUGUAUUGGAGGACAGGAUGAUUUAGUAGAAUGGAUGGAAGCUGUUUUGCUGAGACUGGUCUCUAUUAGAAGUUGCUCCUUGGAACAACUUUUUUCUACUAAAAUCAGAGAGAAAGCAUGGUCUAUGUGUCGAGCCCUGUUGUCCACAAAGAUGAUUCAUAAUCAGGAAAGUUUCUGCGAUCCCACAUUUAACUUAGAAUGAUAGAAUAAUGGAAUGGUUUGGUGCGAGGUACCUUCUGACUCAGUGAAAAAGGAGACAAAUAGACAAUUGACAUAUGUUUGGAAGCUCCAAUGAGUGCAAACACAACAGCAGACUCCUAAGAGUACAUGAGAUCUUACUAUUGGUCUUUAUAUUGCCUUCCACUACAAUAGUCUCAAGGCACUUCAUAGCCUCUCUGUCAGUCUUUUGGUUGCUCAGUUCAGUUGAAUGAGGAGAAGUUCCUUUUUUAUCCUGUAAACAUAGUCAAAGAAGAUUUUUUAAUGGAUUUCUCCACUUUUCAGUAAUUUUGUAACAGACACACAUCUAGUACCAAGAAAAUUUUAGAAUAUCUGGAUCUAAAAGAAAUUCCGCUUAGUUUACACAUAUGUGCAGGCUUCCUACAGAGUACUGGUGAUGUUUUACUGUCCCAGGAGUGCUUUUUAUCAAAUAUGGAGAGUUUACUGCAAGCUACAGGUAAUGAAUUUAUUCUAAUGCAUUUGAACAAUGGGAACAGCGUAUUCAUUUUCCUUACUGUACUAAAAAAACUGCUGAACUGUUUUCACCCAAGCAACACAAAAAUGCCUCAGGCAAAAAGCAGAGGCAGAAAAUGUCAUUUUGAAUGUUAGAAAUUUGGUAAAUUUGAGUGCAAGUGUAAACAAGUCACUGUCAAACAUAAAGUCAUGCAAUCUUAGCUAUUGGGGUUGCUAUGUAAUGCUAUUUCAGUAAUAGAUAAGCUUAUCAAAGUGAAUUUUCUUGGUGCAAUUUCAGCUCAGAUGAGACCUAAAAUAUAGGGGCUUAUAUCUGUUUUAGGCUACUGAAAACAGAAUAAGAGAAAGGUGCAUUCAUCAGUAGUAGGAUAAGUGGAAGCAAUCACUGUGCUGUAGAUGUGAAAAAUAUAAAUGUGAUCAUGGACACUUUUUAAGAAAGAUAAAGAAGUAUUAUUAGCAUAAGGCACUGAUAAAAUCUGACAGUUCUGAUUAUGUGUAUUCAGUAAGGAUGGUUCAAGGAUUCUGGGAUGGUAAAAGAGAUUUAAAAGAAUUCAUAAUAGAAAGGUAAAAGAGCAGAAGUACUUAUGUUUAGACAAUACUGGAAAGAGGUGCUAAAGGGUUAUGAAUAGAUUUAGGCCAGGAAUUAAAAGGAAAUUUGUCACUACAGGACAUAUUCUAGAAAGAUACACUUUCUAGAAGGAAAUCUGAAUUAGCUCAAAUGUUGAUUUUGUUCAGGUUAUUAAUGGAAUUAUCUGUGAUAACAGGAGACUAGAUUUUAUCCAGAAGCUCUUUUCCUGUCCUGUGGACAUUUAACCUGGUGCAAGGAAAUAUCCUGGUUCAGAGGAAAUAUCCCUUGCACACAUUCAGUAUGUACAAAUUACAAAAAAAUAUCAAACUGUAUUGAGUGUUCUCAUUUCCUUCAUGUAUUUUCCUACAGCCAACAUAUUGACUUCUGAAUGGAAGAGCAAAAGUAUCAAUUAAUAGAAAGUGUUCUUAAUAACUGGGAUUUUUUUUCCUCCAUCCUACUAAAAGUGAUCCAGAUCAGUCAGUAUCAUCAGGCGUUCAUCAUCUUUGAAGAAAGUUAGGACUUGUGAGGAGUAGACACUUUCCAGACAACUCUUCUUAUGUCUGCCAGUUAUUAAGCACAGGCUUUCUAACAUGAUAAAGACUACUGGGUGGUUGCAGCAAAUGUUAAAAUAGAAAUCACAACUCAUAAGUAGUAUAUAUGCAUAUAAAAGAAACUGAUAUAAAAGAAACUGAUAGCUACAGGAGCAGUACUAUUUUCAGUUGUGCCCAGUGCCAGGACAAGAGGCAGCAGGCACAAGCUGGGACACAGGAGGUUCCUUUUGAACACCAGGAAGGACUUCUGUGCUGUACAGGUGUCAGAGUACUGGCACAGGCUGCCCAGAGGCUGUGGAAUCUCUUCCCCGGGGAUCUUUAAAAGCCACCUGGAUGUGGUGCUGGGCACCCUGCUCUGGGUGUCCCUGCUGGAACAGGGGUUAGGACCCAGAGGUCCCUGCCCACCUCAAUCAGUCUGUGAUUCUGUGGAACUGAAAAAUUUUCAGAAUGAGGUAUGUCCUCACUAAAUGUUUCCUUUCUUCUAAUUGUCUGCUUGAAGGAAUAUGAGUGUGCAGGCUUAUCUCUCCAAGGAUGAAAUUAGGAAGCUGUGAAACAGAAGAGAAUGGGAAUGAAUAUGGAGGGGCUGAGAAAGAGCACAGUUGCAAGGAGAGCAGAGAUAAUCAGCUACAUAAGGAUUUAUAAGGCUUGGUGCUUAUCCCUCCAAGUCUCCACUUCCUGCAGCCUUCAGGUGCAUUUCCUGGUGUGUUAAUUGUGGGUGCAGAAGAGGAAGAAGAACCUGUUUUGCUGCAUGAUUGAAGGGAAUGUCAAGGGCCUUUCCAUUGAGAGGGGAUCCUCUCCAACUCACCUAAACAGUGGUAAUCCAGGAGCACUUCUCCAAGAACCUGCAGUACCUAGAAUAGUUGUCUAUAUCUAUUAUAUUAAAAAGUGCCAGGCACUUUAAUUGAAUUGCUUUAACUGAAUUGUUGCAGUACUCACUGGAACAGUUUUGACCUGGCCCAGCUAGCGCUGUUUCAAUCAAUUUGGCAUGCCUCAGGGUUAGCACAGGCCAGAAGCUACUUCCAGUAGGUAACCUGAGUAUGGCCUUUUUGUUUCAAGGAGAUUUGAGAGCAUGCAAAUUGCCUGACAGUGCAGCCCUGACAAUGCUUACUUUGUAAGCAUAGAACUGAUCUCAGAGGUCCUGGCCAGGCUGGUGAGGUUGCCUUGAGAGUGGCUAGUUCAGCUCCUCGUGCAGAAAUGACAGAACUGAAAAAGAAAGAGCUGAAAAAGAGAUUGUGAUUUGUAGGUUCUGUGAGUGUACAGUGCAGAGAACAGAAAAAGGCAAAGCAUCUGGCAACUCCUCUGUUGUUCACAGGAAAAAGAAAUGUGCCUAGCAGCCAUUAGAUGUGGUCAGCAGCAGUAGAUACUGUAAGACAAAAUAGACUCUAGCAUGCAUACGGUACUUGCUCACAGCACAAUUUUCUUCCACGUGGAUUUUCAUUCCUAGAGAGAUUUAUUUUGCCCAGCAAACUCAGAGCAGACACUAAAUCUGCCACAUCGCAUAGGGGUUCUGGAUGCUAGCAUGGAGCAUUAGUCAGCCAGGAGUCCUUUCUCUUUGUAACUGCGAGGGUGAGGGUGACCAAGCACUGGAAAAGAUUUUGCAUAGAGAUUUUGGAGCCUUAAUUCUCUGAGAUAUUCAAAAUGUGGUAGGACAUAGCACUGAGCAACCUGUUCUGGCUGACUCUGCUUUGAGAAGAAAUGUUGGAGUACUUGAUCUGCAGAAGGCUUUUCCAAACUCAGCCAAUCUGUGAUUUCUUUGAUCAUCCUGGACCAGAGAUCAAGACCAUGCCCUUGUGCUAUUAAUUUACUAACAUAGAAGUAAGCACAGGAUCGCACUGAAAGCGUUUAUUUAGAUUGCCUUGCUUCAGGUGAUGUCUCCUUCCCCACUGCUAUUAUAUAAAAAGGGCUGCAUACUGCAUACUGGACAAACCUUCUGGAGGGAGAGAAGGAAACCCCUUGGGUGUUUCCAAAGGUGAAAUACAAGCUGUGUUUUAAGAAAAAUCCUAAUGCAGAAAACAAUCCACACUUCAGUGAAGCAGAGAUCAGGUAAGAUUCCCUUUCUAAGUUCUGUGUUUUGAUCUAAAUUAUCUACUGAUUCUGAUCAAAGAGCUGUUCAUCCAGUAAUUGUUCUGAGUUAGAACUCUAAAUAAAAUGUUGUCCUUCUGAAAACCUUUACCUUCUUAUUCUUUACUCACCAAAACUGAUAUGAAGAAGUUGUCUUUGGCCAAUUUUUAUUCCUGUUAUACCACCUCAAAUCAAAUCUGUUCAGGUAGACAUUUAAACAUGCCUGAAGACUUUGGAAGGCACAGAUGAGUGCUCUGUAACACUGGCUGUCUGAGAUCCUUCCCAUUCGUGCAAGAGGGGACACAUGGGACAGCUGCAGGCUGUGGGAAGCCCACGUGCCACCAGCUGGGGAAGGAGGGCAUCCCGAGGGAGGGAUCCCAUGUGGAGCAGGGGCAGAGUGGCCAUGGAAGAGUGGCAGAGUUGAAGCGUUAUAGGCUGACUGCAGCCCCUCAUUCUUCAUUUACCUGCACCAAAGGUGUUUUUAGUUUGCUUUUCUUUCUUACUGUUCUAGUCUGUUAGCAAUAGGUAAUAAAUUACAUUAAUCUCUCAAUAUUGAGUGUGUUUCAGCCAUGGUAGUAAUUGGUGAGGGAUCUUCCUGUACUUAUUUCAACUCAUGACCCAUUUUUUCAUCAUUUUUUUUUCCACUGUUCUUUUGAGGAGGGGGAGUGUAACAGUGGUAUGCUGGAACUUACCUGCCCAUCAGGGUAAAACCUUAGGAGUCCCAACUGAAAGGACAGAAAUGUAACGAACAGGGACAGCUCCCCAGUUACUGAUGGGCUGCACUGUUGCUUGUAACAAGCACAACUCAUUGUGUCUGAUGGGACAAGGGGUAAAGCUUUAAACUAAAAAGAAGGUAAAUUUAAUGGUAAAUUCUUUACUAUAAGGGUGAUGAGGCAGUAGAACGUGUUGCCCAGAGAAGCUGUCAAUGCCGCGUCCUUGGAAGAGUUCAGGGCCACGCUGGAUGUGGCUUUGUGUGACCCGGUCUGGUUGGUGGCUGGAUCUAGAUGAUACUUAAGGUCCCUUCAAACCCAAACCAAUGUAUGCUUUUAUGAUCCUGUGAUUCCAGGUGUGUUUGGAACAAGAAUAAAUUUCCCCUGGACUUCUGAGGAAGAACUAGGAGUGAAACUCAGUGAACUAUGACCGUGGAAUUCAUAUGGUGAAAGGCAAGAAAAGAAUAGUUCAGUACAUCUUUCCAGGAGAAAGAAGACCUGGUCAGAAGAUUUGUUAUUGACUUGUUCUGUGAUCAUAGUUCCGUGGUCUUUUUCAGCGACACCAUCAUAAAAGGCCACUACAUUGGUCAAGAAGGAUUUGCCCUUGAUGAUGCCAUGCUGAUUCUCCCAUAUCACCUCCCUCUCUUCCAUGUGCCUUCCAGGAGGAUCUGCUCCAUGAUCUUUCCUAACACAGAGGUGAGACUGACAGGUUGGUAGUUCCUGGGGUCAGGGUUAUCCUUUUAACCUUUCUUAAAAAUGGGUGUGAUGUUGCCUUUUUUUCCAGUCACCAGGGACUUCACCUCAUUGCCACGUCUUUUCAAAUAUCAUUGAGAGUGGCUUGGCAAUUACAUCAGCCAGUUUCCUUAGGACUCUGGGAUGCAUCUAAUUGAGACUCAUAGACUUGUGGAUGUUCAGGUUCCUCAGGUGGUCACAAACCUGAUCUUUGCUUACAGUGGGAGGGAUAUUGCUUCCCUAGUCCCAUCCUACCAAAUCAAAUGUUUGAGGGCUGUGUGAUGAGCAGUUAUCAGAGAAGACUGUAGCAAAAAAAUUGUUGAGUAUCUCAGCCUUCUCCUUGUCUGUUGUUACCAGCUUGCCUGCAUCACUCACUAGAGGGAAUAUGCCAUCCUGGACCAUUCUUUUCUGGUUGAGGUACCCGUAGAAGCCUUUCUUGUUCUUCUUGGCAUCCCUUGCUGAGUUUAUUUCAAGCUGGGCCUUGGUUUUCCUGACCCCAUCCCUACACAGCCUAGCAGCUUCCUUAUACU